Long non-coding RNA from Chiroxiphia lanceolata (lance-tailed manakin), 508 nucleotides. RefSeq lists it as uncharacterized. The record is from RefSeq and is a predicted model, not a curated record. The transcript has 3 exons. NCBI's taxonomy places the organism in Eukaryota, Metazoa, Chordata, Aves, Passeriformes, Pipridae.
UGUGAUGUCACCCAGCUCCAACGCCCCCGGGGCUCUCGCCAGAGUCGGGAACAGCUGACGUGUGCGGGAAUUCUCCUUUUAGCAGACACAAAGAUGAUUUAUAAGAAAUCCCUGCCUGCACUUCCUCCAGCUGCUUCAGUAUCUUUCCCUGGGUGUUUUUACGCACAGAACAGUCCUCCUGCAGACAGCAGCUAAAAUCACUGAGAGAGAGAAAUACAGCUGGAAUCACAGAAACAUAAGGGAACAAGUCCAGGGAUCAGAUACAGGUCCCCCCCAGCCCUCUCCACUGUGUCAAGCUGAAUCUGCCUUGUCUGCUGCUUCAGACCCUGAACUCCUGAAAACUGCUGUGACUUCCUUGGAAAUACGUCAGUGCUGCCCUAGAUACCGAGGCUGCUCCACCAAACAGUCCUUUCCACACUGCACAGUGACUACCAGACUAUUUCUCCUGUUAUUCUCAGCAUCUCUGGGUUCAUCCUCAUUCCCCCUUUCCUGCCAGCCCACCCAGAGC